GGGAGUGAAAAAGAACCUGAAACCGUGUACGUACAAGCAGUGGGAGCACGCUUAGGCGUGUGACUGCGUACCUUUUGUAUAAUGGGUCAGCGACUUAUAUUCUGUAGCAAGGUUAACCGAAUAGGGGAGCCGAAGGGAAACCGAGUCUUAACUGGGCGUUAAGUUGCAGGGUAUAGACCCGAAACCCGGUGAUCUAGCCAUGGGCAGGUUGAAGGUUGGGUAACACUAACUGGAGGACCGAACCGACUAAUGUUGAAAAAUUAGCGGAUGACUUGUGGCUGGGGGUGAAAGGCCAAUCAAACCGGGAGAUAGCUGGUUCUCCCCGAAAGCUAUUUAGGUAGCGCCUCGUGAAUUCAUCUCCGGGGGUAGAGCACUGUUUCGGCAAGGGGGUCAUCCCGACUUACCAACCCGAUGCAAACUGCGAAUACCGGAGAAUGUUAUCACGGGAGACACACGGCGGGUGCUAACGUCCGUCGUGAAGAGGGAAACAACCCAGACCGCCAGCUAAGGUCCCAAAGUCAUGGUUAAGUGGGAAACGAUGUGGGAAGGCCCAGACAGCCAGGAUGUUGGCUUAGAAGCAGCCAUCAUUUAAAGAAAGCGUAAUAGCUCACUGGUCGAGUCGGCCUGCGCGGAAGAUGUAACGGGGCUAAACCAUG
This 656-nucleotide ribosomal RNA is filed under the name Escherichia coli. RNAcentral describes it as "partial 23S ribosomal RNA". It matches the Rfam family "Bacterial large subunit ribosomal RNA", at positions 534 to 1191 of the family's 2925-position model. The record is from RNAcentral. Lineage: Bacteria; Pseudomonadati; Pseudomonadota; Gammaproteobacteria; Enterobacterales; Enterobacteriaceae.